UUAAGCGACUAAGCGUACACGGUGGAUGCCCUGGCAGUCAGAGGCGAUGAAGGACGUGCUAAUCUGCGAUAAGCGCCGGUAAGGUGAUAUGAACCGUUAUAACCGGCGAUUUCCGAAUGGGGAAACCCAGUGUGACUCGUCACACUAUCAUUAACUGAAUCCAUAGGUUAAUGAGGCGAACCGGGGGAACUGAAACAUCUAAGUACCCCGAGGAAAAGAAAUCAACCGAGAUUCCCCCAGUAGCGGCGAGCGAACGGGGAGGAGCCCAGAGCCUGAAUCAGCAUGUGUGUUAGUGGAAGCGUCUGGAAAGGCGCGCGAUACAGGGUGACAGCCCCGUACACAAAAGCGCAUGUGCUGUGAGCUCGAUGAGUAGGGCGGGACACGUGGUAUCCUGUCUGAAUAUGGGGGGACCAUCCUCCAAGGCUAAAUACUCCUGACUGACCGAUAGUGAACCAGUACCGUGAGGGAAAGGCGAAAAGAACCCCGGCGAGGGGAGUGAAAAAGAACCUGAAACCGUGUACGUACAAGCAGUGGGAGCACCCUUUGGGGUGUGACUGCGUACCUUUUGUAUAAUGGGUCAGCGACUUAUAUUCUGUAGCAAGGUUAACCGUAUAGGGGAGCCGUAGGGAAACCGAGUCUUAACCGGGCGUUAAGUUGCAGGGUAUAGACCCGAAACCCGGUGAUCUAGCCAUGGGCAGGUUGAAGGUUGGGUAACACUAACUGGAGGACCGAACCGACUAAUGUUGAAAAAUUAGCGGAUGACCUGUGGCUGGGGGUGAAAGGCCAAUCAAACCGGGAGAUAGCUGGUUCUCCCCGAAAGCUAUUUAGGUAGCGCCUCGUGAAUUCAUCUCCGGGGGUAGAGCACUGUUUCGGCUAGGGGGCCAUCCCGGCUUACCAACCCGAUGCAAACUGCGAAUACCGGAGAAUGUUAUCACGGGAGACACACGGCGGGUGCUAACGUCCGUCGUGAAGAGGGAAACAACCCAGACCGCCAGCUAAGGUCCCAAAGUCAUGGUUAAGUGGGAAACGAUGUGGGAAGGCCCAGACAGCCAGGAUGUUGGCUUAGAAGCAGCCAUCAUUUAAAGAAAGCGUAAUAGCUCACUGGUCGAGUCGGCCUGCGCGGAAGAUGUAACGGGGCUAAACCAUGCACCGAAGCUGCGGCAGCGAACGUAUCACCCAAGACAACUUUACGGAGUUGACGAUUGACGGAGCGAAGCGACGUCAAAGCGUUCAUUAAAGUCGAGUUGGCUUAGGGAUACGUUCGUUGGGUAGGGGAGCGUUCUGUAAGCCUGUGAAGGUGUGUCGUGAGGCAUGCUGGAGGUAUCAGAAGUGCGAAUGCUGACAUAAGUAACGAUAAAGCGGGUGAAAAGCCCGCUCGCCGGAAGACCAAGGGUUCCUGUCCAACGUUAAUCGGGGCAGGGUGAGUCGACCCCUAAGGCGAGGCCGAAAGGCGUAGUCGAUGGGAAACGGGUUAAUAUUCCCGUACUUGGUGUUACUGCGAAGGGGGGACGGAGAAGGCUAUGUUGGCCGGGCGACGGUUGUCCCGGUUUAAGCGUGUAGGUGUGUGUUCCAGGUAAAUCCGGUUCACUUUAACACUGAGGCGUGACGACGAGGCACUACGGUGCUGAAGCAACAAAUGCCCUGCUUCCAGGAAAAGCCUCUAAGCAUCAGGUAACAUCAAAUCGUACCCCAAACCGACACAGGUGGUCAGGUAGAGAAUACCAAGGCGCUUGAGAGAACUCGGGUGAAGGAACUAGGCAAAAUGGUGCCGUAACUUCGGGAGAAGGCACGCUGACACGUAGGUGAAGUGAUUUACUCAUGGAGCUGAAGUCAGUCGAAGAUACCAGCUGGCUGCAACUGUUUAUUAAAAACACAGCACUGUGCAAACACGAAAGUGGACGUAUACGGUGUGACGCCUGCCCGGUGCCGGAAGGUUAAUUGAUGGGGUCAGCGCAAGCGAAGCUCCUGAUCGAAGCCCCGGUAAACGGCGGCCGUAACUAUAACGGUCCUAAGGUAGCGAAAUUCCUUGUCGGGUAAGUUCCGACCUGCACGAAUGGCGUAAUGAUGGCCAGGCUGUCUCCACCCGAGACUCAGUGAAAUUGAACUCGCUGUGAAGAUGCAGUGUACCCGCGGCAAGACGGAAAGACCCCGUGAACCUUUACUAUAGCUUGACACUGAACAUUGAGCCUUGAUGUGUAGGAUAGGUGGGAGGCUUUGAAGUGUGGACGCCAGUCUGCAUGGAGCCGACCUUGAAAUACCACCCUUUAAUGUUUGAUGUUCUAACGUGGACCCGUUACCCGGGUUGCGGACAGUGUCUGGUGGGUAGUUUGACUGGGGCGGUCUCCUCCUAAAGAGUAACGGAGGAGCACGAAGGUUGGCUAAUCCUGGUCGGACAUCAGGAGGUUAGUGCAAUGGCAUAAGCCAGCUUGACUGCGAGCGUGACGGCGCGAGCAGGUGCGAAAGCAGGUCAUAGUGAUCCGGUGGUUCUGAAUGGAAGGGCCAUCGCUCAACGGAUAAAAGGUACUCCGGGGAUAACAGGCUGAUACCGCCCAAGAGUUCAUAUCGACGGCGGUGUUUGGCACCUCGAUGUCGGCUCAUCACAUCCUGGGGCUGAAGUAGGUCCCAAGGGUAUGGCUGUUCGCCAUUUAAAGUGGUACGCGAGCUGGGUUUAGAACGUCGUGAGACAGUUCGGUCCCUAUCUGCCGUGGGCGCUGGAGAACUGAGGGGGGCUGCUCCUAGUACGAGAGGACCGGAGUGGACGCAUCACUGGUGUUCGGGUUGUCAUGCCAAUGGCACUGCCCGGUAGCUAAAUGCGGAAGAGAUAAGUGCUGAAAGCAUCUAAGCACGAAACUUGCCCCGAGAUGAGUUCUCCCUGAGACUUAGAGUCUCCUGAAGGAACGUUGAAGACGACGACGUUGAUAGGCCGGGUGUGUAAGCGCAGCGAUGCGUUGAGCUAACCGGUACUAAUGAACCGUGAGGCUUAACCUU
This 2988-nucleotide ribosomal RNA is filed under the name Salmonella enterica. RNAcentral describes it as "bacterial LSU rRNA". It matches the Rfam family "Bacterial large subunit ribosomal RNA". Lineage: Bacteria; Pseudomonadati; Pseudomonadota; Gammaproteobacteria; Enterobacterales; Enterobacteriaceae. The record is from RNAcentral.